Molecule: non-coding RNA, 185 nt
Organism: Cyanistes caeruleus (blue tit)
Lineage: Eukaryota; Metazoa; Chordata; Aves; Passeriformes; Paridae
Source: RefSeq, a predicted model, not a curated record
GGGCAGGGCUGGGAAUGGGGACUGGACAGGGCACCAGCGAACCCAGCAGUGAAGGUGUCUCUGACAGAAAGUCCAAAGUGCACCUCCCUCCAAAACACAGCUUGCCCUCUAAAACCCUGGCAGAAAAUUCCUAUCCAUGAUGAAACCAAGUGACAGGAGGUAAAUAAAGUCUGUGAGAAAGAUGA